Molecule: transfer RNA, 72 nt
Filed under: bacterium
Lineage: Bacteria
Description: tRNA-Glu
Rfam family: tRNA
About the family: Transfer RNA (tRNA) molecules are approximately 80 nucleotides in length. Their secondary structure includes four short double-helical elements and three loops (D, anti-codon, and T loops). Further hydrogen bonds mediate the characteristic L-shaped molecular structure. tRNAs have two regions of fundamental functional importance: the anti-codon, which is responsible for specific mRNA codon recognition, and the 3' end, to which the tRNAs corresponding amino acid is attached (by aminoacyl-tRNA synthetases). tRNAs cope with the degeneracy of the genetic code in two manners: having more than one tRNA (with a specific anti-codon) for a particular amino acid; and 'wobble' base-pairing, i.e. permitting non-standard base-pairing at the 3rd anti-codon position.
Source: RNAcentral
GGCCCCAUCGUCUAGUGGUUAGGACGCUAGGUUUUCACCCUGGUAACGCGGGUUCGAUUCCCGCUGGGGCCG